RNAcentral lists this ribosomal RNA (446 nucleotides) under uncultured bacterium. RNAcentral's name for it is "partial 16S ribosomal RNA". It matches the Rfam family "Bacterial small subunit ribosomal RNA", at positions 338 to 795 of the family's 1533-position model. The record is from RNAcentral.
CCUACGGGUGGCAGCAGUCGAGAAUCAUUCACAAUGGGGGAAACCCUGAUGGUGCGACGCCGCGUGGGGGAAUGAAGGUCUUCGGAUUGUAAACCCCUGUCAUGUGGGAGCAAAAUAAAAAGAUAGUACCACAAGAGGAUGAGACGGCUAACUCUGUGCCAGCAGCCGCGGUAAUACAGAGGUCUCAGGCGUUGUUGGGAAUCCCUGGGCGUAAGGCGUGCGUAGGCUGUUUCGUAAGUCGUGUGUGAAAGGCCCGGGCUAAACCCGCGGACUGCACAUGAUACUGCGAGACUAGAGUAAUGGUGCGGGGACCGGAAUUCUCGGUGUAGCAGUGAAAUGCGUAGAUAUCGAAAGGAACACUCGUGGCGAAGGCGUGUUCCUGGACAUUAACUGACGCUGAGGCACGAAGGCCAGGGGAGCGAAAGGGAUUAGAUACCCGGGUAGUC